RNAcentral lists this ribosomal RNA (503 nucleotides) under uncultured bacterium. RNAcentral's name for it is "partial 16S ribosomal RNA". It matches the Rfam family "Bacterial small subunit ribosomal RNA", at positions 30 to 523 of the family's 1533-position model. The record is from RNAcentral.
AUUGAACGCUGGCGGCAGGCUUAACACAUGCAAGUCGAGCGGGGUGAUGGUGCUUGCACUAUCACUUAGCGGCGGACGGGUGAGUAAUGCUUAGGAAUCUGCCUAUUAGGGGGGGACAACAUCUCGAAAGGGAUGCUAAUACCGCAUACGUCCUACGGGAGAAAGCAGGGGAUCACUUGUGACCUUGCGCUAAUAGAUGAGCCUAAGUCGGAUUAGCUAGUUGGUGGGGUAAAGGCCUACCAAGGCGACGAUCUGUAGCGGGUCUGAGAGGAUGAUCCGCCACACUGGGACUGAGACACGGCCCAGACUCCUACGGGAGGCAGCAGUGGGGAAUAUUGGACAAUGGGGGGAACCCUGAUCCAGCCAUGCCGCGAGUGUGAAGAAGGCCUUAUGGUUGUAAAGCACUUUAAGCGAGGAGGAGGCUCUUUUGGUUAAUACCCAAGAUGAGUGGACGUUACUCGCAGAAUAAGCACCGGCUAACUCUGUGCCAGCAGCCGCGGUAA